UACGAGGGGGGCGAGCGUUGUUCGGAAUUAUUGGGCUUAAAGGGCGCGUAGGCGUUUGGAUAAGUCUUGUGUGAAAUCUUCGGGCUCAACUCGAAGUCUGCACGAGAAACUAUCUGGCUUGAGUGUGGGAGAGGUGAGUGGAAUUCCUGGUGUAGCGGUGAAAUGCGUAGAUAUCAGGAGGAACACCUGUGGCGAAAGCGGCUCACUGGACCACAACUGACGCUGAGGCGCGAAAGCUAGGGGAGCAAACAGG
RNAcentral lists this ribosomal RNA (253 nucleotides) under uncultured bacterium. Its description in RNAcentral is "partial 16S ribosomal RNA". It matches the Rfam family "Bacterial small subunit ribosomal RNA", at positions 524 to 776 of the family's 1533-position model. The record is from RNAcentral.